Paramuricea clavata is the source of this 753-nucleotide non-coding RNA. NCBI's taxonomy places the organism in Eukaryota, Metazoa, Cnidaria, Anthozoa, Malacalcyonacea, Plexauridae. The record is from the annotation of a GenBank genome assembly.
GUGGAAACACGACGCCCGAAGGGCGGAGUGUUUUCACGCAAUUUCGAGUUUUCCCAACUUCCACGAGUGUUGAUAUAACGAUAUAUCAACACGGAAAAAUUGUUUUAUAUUUGUUUUAUAAUAUAGCAAUGUCAAAAGCCCGAAGAAUAAGAAAAAAUUCCGCGUUUACAAGCGGCGGAAAAUUUCCCGUGUUGACAUGGAGUUAUAUCAACAUGGCUCUUAGCCAAUCAGCGUUCAGAAUUUACAAAUGCUAUAUUAUAAUGUAAUAUAAUAUAUCUUCAAUGUAAAUAACUAUGGUUACCGCGUAGACACUGAACUUAAAAAUAAAGCUGGAUUGUGCUUACUAUUAAAUAUAGCUAGGUUUCAACAGAAAUGGUCAACUUCAGAAAUACUGACAAUAACAGAAGAAAAUAAAUUUUUUCCUUUGAAUACAAAAGUUGAAAAAGAAUAAACAUUUGAUUUUCUCACUCUGAUAACUGCAGUUUGACCAGCAUCUGCUGCACGAUAUUGCUUUGUGAAUCAUAUCAAUAGGAAUUUAGUACUUUGUAAUGACUAAGUAAUGUCAUGAUUUACUUCACGGUUCACAAAAGAAAAGUCUGUUGUGGAUAAAGGGUUAAUCGUUUUUUAGUAAAAUCUUUUUUAAUAAUUCAAUAUAUUCGUAAAUUUGAAACCAAUGUUUCGGCAUGGCAAAUAGAUUCCUUGUAAUGCCCCGUUGGAUUGUACAUGAGAGAGUACCUGUGGAAUUCAAAGUUU